GGUUCCAGGAGGAACAUGAUCUUAAAGGAGACAGAGCCUCUGGAUAAAAAAAGACAACCAUCGGUGGAAUAAUAAAAAGCGCCAUAAACGCUGAAAGAAAAAUGUUCUGGGUUAGAAGACGAAAAAGGAUCCAUCAGCUUAACUCAUCAAGAAAGGCGUCAAGUCAACAGUUCUGCCCUACUGUGAGAUUUUUCCAAACAAAAAUACCUGAAACAUCAGUUUGGCCAAGUAUGCCUUCAGUGACACUCAGCAAAUGGAGCUUCCUCAAGCACAGUGCUGUAAGAAAUGUGAGAGUGAGUCUAUGUAUAUUGUUAAGUUAUUCUUUUUAUGGUGCUUUUUUAAUCUUUAAUUUCGGCUAUGAAUAUGCGCAAGCAUGGUUAAAAACAUUCGCUUGUCUCCAGAAGGUCAUUAAUGUUUUGUGGCUGUUGAAGUUUUAACAGUGCGUUCUUUUUAUUUCUUUCUGUAUUUUCAUUUUAAAAUUGAUUUGAAAGGUCGAGUGAUAGGGAAAGACAGCGGGAGAGAUCUAUUGCUGGUCACUCUCCAAAUGGCUGCAGUGGCGGAGUCUGAGCCACACCAAAGCCAUGAGCCAGAAGCUGCAUCUAGAUUUCCCUCACGGGUGGCAGUGCCCAGGCACUUAUGCCAUCUUCCGCUGCCUUCCCAGGCACAUUAGCAGGGAGCUGGUUUGGAAAUGGAGCAGAGGCUUAACAUGCUGCACCAGGAUGCCAGCCCCCACUGGGUUGUUUCAUGGAUAGGUAUUGUUGUUGAACACAGGGACUGUUUCUAGGCACAGAGAAUGAGACAUACUUUAGGAGGGACAUUAGGUGUGAUUAUGAUGAUAGAGCUCAGAUCUGCAGUCCUAGAUCCACAAAUGCAUGGUGAGAAGUUAGAACAAACUGGAUGUGAGCCAUUGACACAUGGACUGUAUCUAGCCACGUUAAAAAAAAGAAAUUACUCCAAUUCCUAACCUUCAAAGAGCCACAUGGAGUCACUUCAUUCACACAGAGAGCUCCCAGGACAUUGCCCCUUUGAGCAUGAGAGGAACCUCUACACGUUUGUAUCAGUUCUUUAAAAAAAUAUUUAUUUGAAAGAUAGAAUGAUGGAAGGAGAGGAAGACAUAGUGAGUGAGAGAUCUUCAGUCUGUAGGUUCAUUCCCCAAACAGCCACUAACAGCCAGGGCUGGACCAAGCAAAAGCAGGGAGCCAGAAACUCCAUCCAGGUCUCCCAUGUGGAUAACAGGGACUCAAGUACUCCUUGUGCUGCUAUCCCAGACACAUUAACAGAGAGAUAGGUCAGAAGUGGAGAAGCUGGGGCUUCAACUAGUACUCCAAUAUAGGAUGCUGGCAUUGCAAGUCGCAGUUUCACCUGCUGUGCCACAGUGCUGGCAUCUGUAUCAGUUCUUAGGAAUGGAAUUUGGUGGUUCUCC
This 1423-nucleotide long non-coding RNA is filed under the name Oryctolagus cuniculus (rabbit). RNAcentral describes it as "lncRNA (ENSOCUG00000030951.1)". Lineage: Eukaryota; Metazoa; Chordata; Mammalia; Lagomorpha; Leporidae. The record is from RNAcentral.